This 336-nucleotide ribosomal RNA is filed under the name uncultured bacterium. RNAcentral's name for it is "bacterial SSU rRNA". It matches the Rfam family "Bacterial small subunit ribosomal RNA", at positions 72 to 422 of the family's 1533-position model. The record is from RNAcentral.
AAGUGGAGCAAUCCAUGAGUACAGUGGCGUACGGGUGAGUAACACGUGGAUCAUCUACCUCUUGGUGGGGAAUAACCCUGGGAAACCGGGGCUAAUACCGCAUAAGCCUGCAAAGGGAAAGCAGCAAUGCGCCGAGAGAGGAGUCCGCGGCCGAUUAGCUUGUUGAUAGGGUAACGGCCUACCAAGGCAAUGAUCGGUAGCCGGCCUGAGAGGGCACACGGCCACACUGGCACUGAAACACGGGCCAGACUCCUACGGGAGGCAGCAGUGGGGAAUCUUGCACAAUGGGGGAAACCCUGAUGCAGCGACGCCGCGUGAGCGAUGAAGCCCUUCGGG